GAAAAAGUAAAAUCGCUUGUCAGCAAAUAUGGACGACUACUAAAUAAAUUUGCAAUAGUUCACAAUAACAUCAAUCAUUCAAAGCCAAUGUCAAAUGAGGAAAUAACUGUUAUUGGUGAAUCUAUACAAGACUUUAUUGAUGAAUAUAGAAAUUCAGGAAAUUCAAUGACAAUAUCACCAAAGCUUCAUAUGCUUGAAGAGCAUGUGAUUCCACAACUUAAGGCUUGGAAAUUUGGGCUAGGACUAAUCAGUGAGCAAGGUGGCGAGUCCAUACAUGCAUCUUUUAAUCAACGAAAAAGAACAGUUGCAGGAUAGCAUGAUCGACUUGCUCAGUUAACUUCAAUGAUGCGCUCGCAUACAUUGCUAACCCAGCCCAACAUUCUCCAGAAAAUUGCACAACCUAAAAGAAGAAAAUUUGAGAAAGAAGAAUAAAUCUGAAAAACAAUGGAAUUUUUCAAUGAAAGUGUGCUAAGAAAUUCUUCAAAAUAAUAAUUUUAUAAUCAAAAAUCUACAUUUGACUACCAUAAUAAAACUGCAAUACAUUGUAAGUGACACUGAUAUAAAGGAACAAUAUA
Molecule: long non-coding RNA, 575 nt
Organism: Anneissia japonica
Lineage: Eukaryota; Metazoa; Echinodermata; Crinoidea; Comatulida; Comatulidae
Exons: 3
Source: RefSeq, a predicted model, not a curated record